This 424-nucleotide ribosomal RNA is filed under the name Verrucomicrobiota bacterium. Its description in RNAcentral is "Verrucomicrobia bacterium partial 16S ribosomal RNA". It matches the Rfam family "Bacterial small subunit ribosomal RNA", at positions 355 to 776 of the family's 1533-position model. Lineage: Bacteria; Pseudomonadati; Verrucomicrobiota. The record is from RNAcentral.
UGAGGAAUAUUGGUCAAUGGGCGAGAGCCUGAACCAGCCAAGUAGCGUGCAGGAUGACGGCCCUAUGGGUUGUAAACUGCUUUUAUAUGGGAAUAAAGUGAGGGACGUGUCCCUUAUUGCAUGUACCAUACGAAUAAGGACCGGCUAAUUCCGUGCCAGCAGCCGCGGUAAUACGGAAGGUCCAGGCGUUAUCCGGAUUUAUUGGGUUUAAAGGGAGCGUAGGCUGUUUGUUAAGCGUGUUGUGAAAUGUAAGAGCUCAACUUUUAGAUUGCAGCGCGAACUGGCAGACUUGAGUGCGCACAACGUAGGCGGAAUUCAUGGUGUAGCGGUGAAAUGCUUAGAUAUCAUGACGAACUCCGAUUGCGAAGGCAGCUUACGGGAGCGCAACUGACGCUAAAGCUCGAAGGUGUGGGUAUCGAACAGG